GCCGUCAGCAGCAGAUCGUCGCCAACAUCGUCAUCAACACUGUCUUUGCUAGAUUAUUGCAUGCAAUUUCCUGAGUUAACUAUGGCUGGAUUCGCUGAUGCACUGAGGCCGGAUAAGUUUACCGGUGUGCACUUUAAGAGGUGGCAGGUGAAGACCACGCUCUGGCUUACUGCUCUGAAAGUUUUCCACGCUAGUGUUGGUGCUCCAGAGGGAAUGACCGACGAAGAUCGGAGAAAAUUCCAGGAAGCCAAUACUAUGUUUGUGGGAUGCAUUCUGAGUGUUCUUGCUGACCGUCUGUGUGAUGUGUACAUGCACAUAAACGACGGAAAAAUUCUGUGGGAUGCACUGAAUGCAAAAUUCGGUGCAACAGAUGCAGGCAGUGAACUGUACAUCAUGGAGAGUUUUCAUGACUACAAGAUGGUGAAUAACCGUUCUGUGGUUGAACAAGCUCAUGAGAUACAGUGCAUUGUGAAGGAACUUGAACUCCUUAAAUGUGUAUACCCGACAAAUUCGUGGCUGGGUGCAUGA
RNAcentral lists this ribosomal RNA (528 nucleotides) under Triticum aestivum (bread wheat). Its description in RNAcentral is "partial small subunit ribosomal RNA". The record is from RNAcentral. Lineage: Eukaryota; Viridiplantae; Streptophyta; Magnoliopsida; Poales; Poaceae.